Molecule: non-coding RNA, 322 nt
Organism: Pelobates cultripes (western spadefoot toad)
Lineage: Eukaryota; Metazoa; Chordata; Amphibia; Anura; Pelobatidae
Source: the annotation of a GenBank genome assembly
CCAAGUCCUAUGUUCUGAACGUGUCGGUGCCUGGGAACUGAGCUGAAUCACUUCGAAGCAGCUAUGCGUUUCAAUGGGCGGAAUCUAAAAUUCUAUACCUAUGUAUAUGGCUAACUAAGAACAGUGCAGACCUACUUAAAGAGAACUUCGCCCCAAUGUUAAACACGCUUAAGAGGGACAUGCAGGAAUGGUCCUAUCCACAUAUCUAGUGGCUGGGCUGCAUCCAGGUGGCUAAAAUGAACUUUCUACCGUGGAUGCUCUAUCUGCAGCAGGCUAUCUCCAUCCUAAUACCAUCAUCUUACUUUACCUCCCUACGCAUGGC